This is a long non-coding RNA of Heterocephalus glaber (naked mole-rat), 915 nucleotides long. The record is from Ensembl. Lineage: Eukaryota; Metazoa; Chordata; Mammalia; Rodentia; Bathyergidae.
CCUUAACAGGGUCCACUGAGGAUGGAUUUCAGGCUGAAGCUCUCCCUGGUGCUCAAAGUUCCAGCAAUCAAGGUCUUGGUUCAGUUAAGGUCCCUUCCCCCAAGUAAGGUGUCAUUGUCCUCAAAAGCAGCUUUAUCCUUGUAGAAGGAGGGUGCCAGAUGCUGUCGGGUUUCCCCUGUCUCCUUCCCCAUCCACCCUCUAAUAGCUGAACCUAGCUCUUAUGGCUCCUGGCCUACUCUAGAGACUGUGGAUCCUCAAGUAGUAGAUCCUGCUGGGAAGGACUGUCAGGCUCAGGACUGGAGCCCAGGAGAUGUGGGAGCUUUGAAUGCUCGGGAGCUAAACCUGGCCUUAGCAGACUGACUGUGCCUUUUCCAAAGCCGCAUCCUUCUCCGACUCAUGAUAUAUCCGAGGCACGUGUCAAAGUCCACAUAAGACAAUGGCUUUGCUAUUGUCAACACCAGCAACUCAUAGGCAACGCCAGACCCAGCCUCUUCUGUCCAUCAGCUUGCUGCUGUACUGCAGAAUAACUACUUCAGUGCUGCUUAGGAGUUGAAGGAUUCCUGAUGUCUUCUGCAGCCUCUGGUGAGAAAUCUCUUCCAGAGCUUCAGACUUCUCAGCUGUAUACCCACCAUGACCUGAUUACUUGGAAAGCACCACUCUGCCCUAAGUUGCUCCCCAAGUGGCGUCUUGUAGCCAAGAAACCUCUGGCACUCUUAAUGCACCUUUGAGAACGGUGUCUCCUCAGACUGUUGUACCCACAGAGGCUUCAUACACAGUGAUGAGAAGAAUGUGCCUGUUGGAGACUGGGACUGGCCGUAGUUCACAGGGGAGCCUGGAGCUGAGCGCUGGGCAUCACCCUGCUCGGGAUUUGAGUAUGGUCAUUAGAGUUCUGUCUGGAGCUGGGUGGCCUGGGGC